CAGCAGCCACGGUAAUACGUAGGGUCCGAGCGUUGUCCGGAAUUACUGGGCGUAAAGAGCUCGUAGGUGGUUUGUCGCGUUGUUCGUGAAAACUCACAGCUUAACUGUGGGCGUGCGGGCGAUACGGGCAGACUAGAGUACUGCAGGGGAGACUGGAAUUCCUGGUGUAGCGGUGGAAUGCGCAGAUAUCAGGAGGAACACCGGUGGCGAAGGCGGGUCUCUGGGCAGUAACUGACGCUGAGGAGCGAAAGCGUGGGGAGCGAACAGGAUUAGAUACCCGUGUAGUCCCUGUCUCUUAUAC
Molecule: ribosomal RNA, 301 nt
Filed under: uncultured bacterium
Lineage: Bacteria
Description: partial 16S ribosomal RNA
Rfam family: Bacterial small subunit ribosomal RNA
Source: RNAcentral